UACGUAGGCAGCAAGCGUUGUUCGGAAUUACUGGGCGUAAAGCGUGCGCAGGCGGUUGUGCAAGACAGAUGUGAAAUCCCCGGGCUCAACCUGGGAACUGCAUUUGUGACUGCACGGCUGGAGUGCGGCAGAGGGGGAUGGAAUUCCGCGUGUAGCAGUGAAAUGCGUAGAUAUGCGGAGGAACACCGAUGGCGAAGGCAAUCCCCUGGGCCUGCACUGACGCUCAUGCACGAAAGCGUGGGGAGCAGACAGG
RNAcentral lists this ribosomal RNA (253 nucleotides) under uncultured bacterium. RNAcentral describes it as "partial 16S ribosomal RNA". It matches the Rfam family "Bacterial small subunit ribosomal RNA", at positions 524 to 776 of the family's 1533-position model. The record is from RNAcentral.